GCUGGGCAUGGUGGUGCACGCCUGUAAUCCCAGCAUCUCGGGAGGCUGUGGCAGGGGGAUCACAAGUUCAAAGCCAGCCUCAGCAAAAGUGAGGUACUAAACAAAUCAGUGAACCCUGUCUCUA
This 124-nucleotide small RNA is filed under the name Marmota monax (woodchuck). The record is from RNAcentral. Lineage: Eukaryota; Metazoa; Chordata; Mammalia; Rodentia; Sciuridae.